This 2923-nucleotide ribosomal RNA is filed under the name Klebsiella pneumoniae subsp. pneumoniae KPNIH27. Its description in RNAcentral is "bacterial LSU rRNA". It matches the Rfam family "Bacterial large subunit ribosomal RNA". The record is from RNAcentral. Lineage: Bacteria; Pseudomonadati; Pseudomonadota; Gammaproteobacteria; Enterobacterales; Enterobacteriaceae.
GGGUUGUGAGGUUAAGCGACUAAGCGUACACGGUGGAUGCCCUGGCAGUCAGAGGCGAUGAAGGACGUGCUAAUCUGCGAAAAGCGUCGGUAAGGUGAUAUGAACCGUUACAGCCGGCGAUGUCCGAAUGGGGAAACCCAGUGUGAUUCGUCACACUAUCGUUAACUGAAUACAUAGGUUAACGAGGCGAACCGGGGGAACUGAAACAUCUAAGUACCCCGAGGAAAAGAAAUCAACCGAGAUUCCCCCAGUAGCGGCGAGCGAACGGGGAGCAGCCCAGAGUCUGAAUCAGCUUGUGUGUUAGUGGAACGGUCUGGAAAGUCCGACGGUACAGGGUGAUAGUCCCGUACACCAAAAUGCACAGGCUGUGAACUCGAAGAGUAGGGCGGGACACGUGGUAUCCUGUCUGAAUAUGGGGGGACCAUCCUCCAAGGCUAAAUACUCCUGACUGACCGAUAGUGAACCAGUACCGUGAGGGAAAGGCGAAAAGAACCCCGGCGAGGGGAGUGAAAAAGAACCUGAAACCGUGUACGUACAAGCAGUGGGAGCACCUUCGGGUGUGACUGCGUACCUUUUGUAUAAUGGGUCAGCGACUUAUAUUCUGUAGCAAGGUUAACCGUAUAGGGGAGCCGCAGGGAAACCGAGUCUUAACUGGGCGUUAAGUUGCAGGGUAUAGACCCGAAACCCGGUGAUCUAGCCAUGGGCAGGUUGAAGGUUGGGUAACACUAACUGGAGGACCGAACCGACUAAUGUUGAAAAAUUAGCGGAUGACUUGUGGCUGGGGGUGAAAGGCCAAUCAAACCGGGAGAUAGCUGGUUCUCCCCGAAAGCUAUUUAGGUAGCGCCUCGUGAACUCAUCUUCGGGGGUAGAGCACUGUUUCGGCUAGGGGGUCAUCCCGACUUACCAACCCGAUGCAAACUACGAAUACCGAAGAAUGUUAUCACGGGAGACACACGGCGGGUGCUAACGUCCGUCGUGAAGAGGGAAACAACCCAGACCGCCAGCUAAGGUCCCAAAGUCAUGGUUAAGUGGGAAACGAUGUGGGAAGGCACAGACAGCCAGGAUGUUGGCUUAGAAGCAGCCAUCAUUUAAAGAAAGCGUAAUAGCUCACUGGUCGAGUCGGCCUGCGCGGAAGAUGUAACGGGGCUAAACCAUGCACCGAAGCUGCGGCAGCGACACUAUGUGUUGUUGGGUAGGGGAGCGUUCUGUAAGCCUGCGAAGGUGUGCUGUGAGGCAUGCUGGAGGUAUCAGAAGUGCGAAUGCUGACAUAAGUAACGAUAAAGCGGGUGAAAAGCCCGCUCGCCGGAAGACCAAGGGUUCCUGUCCAACGUUAAUCGGGGCAGGGUGAGUCGACCCCUAAGGCGAGGCCGAAAGGCGUAGUCGAUGGGAAACAGGUUAAUAUUCCUGUACUUGGUGUUACUGCGAAGGGGGGACGGAGAAGGCUAUGUUAGCCGGGCGACGGUUGUCCCGGUUUAAGCAUGUAGGCUGAUUGUCCAGGCAAAUCCGGAUAAUCAAGGCUGAGGUGUGAUGACGAGGCACUACGGUGCUGAAGUAACAAAUGCCCUGCUUCCAGGAAAAGCCUCUAAGCAUCAGGUAACAUCAAAUCGUACCCCAAACCGACACAGGUGGUCAGGUAGAGAAUACCAAGGCGCUUGAGAGAACUCGGGUGAAGGAACUAGGCAAAAUGGUGCCGUAACUUCGGGAGAAGGCACGCUGGUGUGUAGGUGAAGUCCCUGCGGAUGGAGCUGAGACCAGUCGAAGAUACCAGCUGGCUGCAACUGUUUAUUAAAAACACAGCACUGUGCAAACACGAAAGUGGACGUAUACGGUGUGACGCCUGCCCGGUGCCGGAAGGUUAAUUGAUGGGGUUAUCCGUAAGGAGAAGCUCUUGAUCGAAGCCCCGGUAAACGGCGGCCGUAACUAUAACGGUCCUAAGGUAGCGAAAUUCCUUGUCGGGUAAGUUCCGACCUGCACGAAUGGCGUAAUGAUGGCCAGGCUGUCUCCACCCGAGACUCAGUGAAAUUGAACUCGCUGUGAAGAUGCAGUGUACCCGCGGCAAGACGGAAAGACCCCGUGAACCUUUACUAUAGCUUGACACUGAACAUUGAGCCUUGAUGUGUAGGAUAGGUGGGAGGCUUUGAAGCGUGGACGCCAGUCUGCGUGGAGCCAACCUUGAAAUACCACCCUUUAAUGUUUGAUGUUCUAACGUUGGCCCCUUACCGGGGUUGCGGACAGUGUCUGGUGGGUAGUUUGACUGGGGCGGUCUCCUCCCAAAGCGUAACGGAGGAGCACGAAGGUUAGCUAAUCCUGGUCGGACAUCAGGAGGUUAGUGCAAUGGCAUAAGCUAGCUUGACUGCGAGCGUGACGGCGCGAGCAGGUGCGAAAGCAGGUCAUAGUGAUCCGGUGGUUCUGAAUGGAAGGGCCAUCGCUCAACGGAUAAAAGGUACUCCGGGGAUAACAGGCUGAUACCGCCCAAGAGUUCAUAUCGACGGCGGUGUUUGGCACCUCGAUGUCGGCUCAUCACAUCCUGGGGCUGAAGUAGGUCCCAAGGGUAUGGCUGUUCGCCAUUUAAAGUGGUACGCGAGCUGGGUUUAGAACGUCGUGAGACAGUUCGGUCCCUAUCUGCCGUGGGCGCUGGAGAAUUGAGGGGGGCUGCUCCUAGUACGAGAGGACCGGAGUGGACGCAUCACUGGUGUUCGGGUUGUCAUGCCAAUGGCACUGCCCGGUAGCUAAAUGCGGAAGAGAUAAGUGCUGAAAGCAUCUAAGCACGAAACUUGCCCCGAGAUGAGUUCUCCCUGAGACUUUAAGUCUCCUGAAGGAACGUUAAAGACGAUGACGUUGAUAGGCCGGGUGUGUAAGCGCAGCGAUGCGUUGAGCUAACCGGUACUAAUGAACCGUGAGGCUUAACCUUACAACGCCGAAG